AAGCGAAUAAGAUGGGAGGGCUUGUUUCAAUCCCUUUUGAUAGACUCGCGACAUAUACCCCGGUUGGUGACGCUUGUGAUAUGUUCAGUCGAGAGGUGGGGAUUUAUAUGUGGGAUAACCUUGCAUUUGAUAGGUACUCUUACACUAAUGUUUCUGCUGCUGAAAAGAAUGCUAUGGAACAACAUCUCAGACGGCGCUUCAAUUUUGAGGAAAUUGAGCGGGAUUGCGAACGUGGUCAGCUUAAGGGUGGCAUUCGGUCGGUCUACAUGAAGCGAUACAGAGACCGGAAGAGUAUGGCAAAAAAGGAGUUUAUAGAAUUAGGAAAGCGACAUGAUAAUUUAGAGACAAUAAGGGGCAGUCCCCCCACGGGUAUGGGUGUGGAAAAUUGGAGGAAGACUAUAGACCUUUUCGGUGAUCCGAAAUAUAAAAAAAAGGUGUGAAGUUAACAAAAAAAAUCGUGAAAAGCAACUGUUCGCAAACCACGGGGGGUCGGCAUCAUAUAGCAGCUGGUCUUUUAAAAAGAAUGUUGAAGCUUUGGAAACGUACGCUCAUGCUCACACUCUACCCGAUGGGACCUUUGCCAGCCCGUUGGAAGAGGAGAAUUUUAACCUAUUAAAGGAAGAAUUUAAAAGACAAAGGACCCAAAAUAACCCAUUCUUGGAAGAUGAGGGUGAAAUCGGUGAAAGUAGUGCGCCUGCCAUUAGUAAUGUUCAAGUUUUUGAAAAGGUGUUUGGUGCUCGGCGCGGAAUUUAUAGGGGACCGGGCGUAAACCUUCUUUAUCUUCAGCCUCGAGUGACGUGAGUCCUCAUGAGAAGGAGAAGACACGUCCGCAAUUUUCAGAGGAAUACUUUGACGAAUUGUUUGAAGACCCGAGAUUUAUGGAACGACUCUACAAAGCUAUGGAUAAGAAGGAAUCAAGAAAAGGCAACGAAAAUGACACGGACGAGGAGGGAGAAUGAUGUAUUUUGUAUUGAACUUAGGGGUUUCAAAACUUUAACUUAAUCAAACAAAAUUCUUUUGUUGUCGUUUUAUGUUUA
Long non-coding RNA from Helianthus annuus (common sunflower), 1037 nucleotides. RefSeq lists it as uncharacterized. The transcript is spliced from 5 exons. The record is from RefSeq and is a predicted model, not a curated record. Lineage: Eukaryota; Viridiplantae; Streptophyta; Magnoliopsida; Asterales; Asteraceae.